CUAUGGGAAACCAUGGCUAAUACCCCGGAUGUCAAGGAGUUUAGACGCCCUUGACUAAAGUUCCGGCGCCUCGGGAGGGGCCUGCGGGCUAUCAGCUUGUUGGUGAGGUAAUGGCUUACCAAGGCAAAGACGGCUAGGGGGCGUGAGAGCGCGACCCCCCACAAUGGAACUGAGACACGGUCCAUACUCCUACGGGAGGCAGCAGUGAGGAAUAUUGCGCAAUGGGGGCAACCCUGACGCAGCAACGCCGCGUGAACGAUGAAGGCCUUCGGGUCGUAAAGUUCUUUUCUGAGGGACGAUAGUGACGGUACCUCAGGAAUAAGUCCCGGCUAACUACGUGCCAGCAGCCGCGGUAAAACGUAGGGGGCGAGCGUUAUCCGGAUUUAUUGGGCGUAAAGAGCACGUAGGCGGCACUGUAAGUUGGGCGUGAAAGCUCUCGGCUUAACUGAGAGAGGUCGUUCAAAACUGCAGUGCUUGAGGUUGAAAGAGGAGAGUGGAAUUCCCGGUGUAGUGGUGGAAUGCGUAGAUAUCGGGAGGAACACCAGUGGCGAAAGCGACUCUCUGGUUCACACCUGACGCUGAGGUGCGAAAGCGUGGGGAGCGAACGGGAUUAGAUACCCCGGUAGUCCAUGCUGUAAACGAUGGAUACUAGGUGUGGGAGGUUAUCAACUCCUUCUGUGCCGGAGCUAACGCGUUAAGUAUCCCGCCUGGGGACUACGACCGCAAGGUUAAAACUCAAAGGAAUUGACGGGGGCCCGCACAAGCAGCGGAGCGUGUGGUUUAAUUCGAUGAUACGCGAA
This 800-nucleotide ribosomal RNA is filed under the name uncultured bacterium. RNAcentral's name for it is "bacterial SSU rRNA". It matches the Rfam family "Bacterial small subunit ribosomal RNA", at positions 147 to 965 of the family's 1533-position model. The record is from RNAcentral.